UACGUAGGGGGCUAGCGUUGUCCGGAAUCAUUGGGCGUAAAGCGCGUGUAGGCGGUCCGGUAAGUCCGCUGUGAAAGUCGGGGGCUCAACCCUGGAAUGCCGGUGGAUACUGUCGGGCUAGAGUCCGGAAGGGGCGAGUGGAAUUCCUGGUGUAGCGGUGAAAUGCGCAGAUAUCAGGAGGAACACCAAUGGCGAGGGCAGCUCGCUGGGACGUGACUGACGCUGAGACGCGAAAGCGUGGGGAGCAAACAGG
Molecule: ribosomal RNA, 253 nt
Filed under: uncultured bacterium
Lineage: Bacteria
Description: partial 16S ribosomal RNA
Rfam family: Bacterial small subunit ribosomal RNA
Source: RNAcentral